Molecule: ribosomal RNA, 497 nt
Filed under: uncultured bacterium
Lineage: Bacteria
Description: partial 16S ribosomal RNA
Rfam family: Bacterial small subunit ribosomal RNA
Source: RNAcentral
GAUGAACGCUGGCGGCGUGCCUAAUACAUGCAAGUCGAGCGAACAGACGAGGAGCUUGCUCCUCUGACGUUAGCGGCGGACGGGUGAGUAACACGUGGAUAACCUACCUAUAAGACUGGGAUAACUUCGGGAAACCGGAGCUAAUACCGGAUAAUAUAUUGAACCGCAUGGUUCAAUAGUGAAAGACGGUUUUGCUGUCACUUAUAGAUGGAUCCGCGCCGCAUUAGCUAGUUGGUAGGGUAACGGCUUACCAAGGCAACGAUGCGUAGCCGACCUGAGAGGGUGAUCGGCCACACUGGAACUGAGACACGGUCCAGACUCCUACGGGAGGCAGCAGUAGGGAAUCUUCCGCAAAGGGCGAAAGCCUGACGGAGCAACGCCGCGUGAGUGAUGAAGGUCUUCGGAUCGUAAAACUCUGUUAUUAGGGAAGAACAAAUGUGUAAGUAACUAUGCACGUCAUGACGGUACCUGAACAGAAAGCCACGGCUAACUACGUG